Molecule: long non-coding RNA, 530 nt
Organism: Bubalus bubalis (water buffalo)
Lineage: Eukaryota; Metazoa; Chordata; Mammalia; Artiodactyla; Bovidae
Exons: 2
Source: RefSeq, a predicted model, not a curated record
GACGGAGAUUCUAGCUGGAUUCCUGACAGAGCAUUCUCUGUGUCUUAGCCCCCUGAGCUCUUGGGUGCUCGCUCUGCCUCCACUAAGCCUUCCCUGCCCAGCAGCAAACAAUCAGUUGCAAGCUGCUCCCCCACCUCCAGCCCUGCUGACUGCCAAUCAGCUGGGCGGCAGGGGGUGGAAGGAAGUUCCACUCCCUGCUGAACCUGCACUGAGGUACUCAAAAUGACUGAGUGGGGCUGAUGACGACCUGGCAGGCCAGGGACUGCGUUGCCAUCAGAAGGGGUGAAGGGUCAUGGCAUUUCUCUAACGUUGUGCCUCUCCCAGCUGGCAGCAGCCUCUCCAGCCUGGCCAUGACCCUGACAUCCAAGAGAACCUUGCACAGUUUGGGAAUAGCUUCUCUGAGCCAAGCCUUACUCUGCAACCUGCAAGUGAAAUGAGAGGAAAUUCAAGAGACCAAGAUACAAAGCCAGACCAAAGGAUUUUACUGCCCCUUCAUUCCCACUAGAGAUAAAGAUUACUGGUACACUGGU